This 465-nucleotide unclassified non-coding RNA is filed under the name plant metagenome. RNAcentral's name for it is "partial contains small subunit ribosomal RNA, internal transcribed spacer 1, and 5.8S ribosomal RNA". The record is from RNAcentral.
UUUCCGUAUGUGAACCUGCGGAAGGAUCAUUAACACGUUCCAAAAAACCUAAUCAACCAACCUGUGAACAUGUAUUCUGGCUGAAUAUAUUUAUACUACAUACAACACAAUGUUAUUGUGGUGCGUGCUAUGUAUAUAUAUUUCAUGACCCCCCCCAUAUAUAAGUUAUAUGGAGCUUAUUUCGCUCUAGAGUUUACUCGCUCUGGCUUAAUAAAGUCUCUCCAUAUAAUUUUAUAUAUAUUUUUAUUCACGCCCUAGUAAAUCAUUCUCUUUGUUGAGAGUGACGAAAUGUUUAAAUAUCAAUAUCUUAUACUUUUUGCUCGUCAAUGGAAUUCAAGUGUCGAUUAGCUUUUUUUUGUAAGACAAGAGAAAGCCCGACUGCCUAUGAAAUGUAGUCAAAAAUGUAUUCAAAUAUCUAAUUAAAAAAUAAGAGAACAACUCUUAGCAAUGGAUAUCUUGGUUCUC